Molecule: non-coding RNA, 459 nt
Organism: Cyanistes caeruleus (blue tit)
Lineage: Eukaryota; Metazoa; Chordata; Aves; Passeriformes; Paridae
Source: RefSeq, a predicted model, not a curated record
UCUCCAGACCAGCCCAAAGGGGAUUCACCCGAACCCAGGGGUCAUCCCAAACCCGGGGUUCACUCCAGCCCCGGAGGAUUCACCCGAACCCAGGGGUCAUCCCAAACCCGGGGGGUCACACCAACGCGGGGAUUCACUCCAGCCCCGGCGGAUUCACCCAAACCCAGGGGAUUCCUCCAAAAGCACGUGUUUCAUCCCAAACCCACGGGAUUCGUCCCAAACCCUGGGAAUCAGCCUCCACUAAACCUGCUCUCUUUAAGUGCCUCACUGGAAUGGAUGAUCACCAAAAUACCAGAUCUCCAGGACAUCCAAGGAGUGCAGCUUUAACAUUCCAGUUUGGAAUAGCCUGGAAUGCACUUCAUCCUCAAAACAAUACUCAUGGCUAAGCUCCCCAACCUCCUCCAGAUUUAAUGACAGAAACCUCUUUGUCAGUCUACUAAAGUACACUUUUCUUCCCCA